RNAcentral lists this ribosomal RNA (501 nucleotides) under uncultured bacterium. Its description in RNAcentral is "partial 16S ribosomal RNA". It matches the Rfam family "Bacterial small subunit ribosomal RNA", at positions 28 to 523 of the family's 1533-position model. The record is from RNAcentral.
GAUGAACGCUAGCUACAGGCUUAACACAGCAAGUCGAGGGGCAGCACUAGGUAGCAAUACUGAGGUGGCGACCGGCGCACGGGUGCGUAACGCGUAUCCAACCUUCCCGUUACUCUUGGAUAGCCUUCCGAAAGGGAGAUUAAUACAAGAUGGUAUUCAAAUUCCGCAUGUUAUUUGAAUUAAAGAUUUAUCGGUAACGGAUGGGGAUGCGUGACAUUAGAUAGUAGGCGGGGUAACGGCCCACCUAGUCUACGAUGUCUAGGGGUUCUGAGAGGAAGGUCCCCCACACUGGAACUGAGACACGGUCCAGACUCCUACGGGAGGCAGCAGUGAGGAAUAUUGGUCAAUGGUCGGAAGACUGAACCAGCCAAGUAGCGUGAAGGAUGAAGGUUCUAUGGAUUGUAAACUUCUUUUAUACGGGAAUAAAACCUCCCACGUGUGGGAGCUUGUAUGUACCGUAUGAAUAAGCAUCGGCUAACUCCGUGCCAGCCGCCGCGGUAA